This 468-nucleotide ribosomal RNA is filed under the name uncultured bacterium. RNAcentral's name for it is "partial 16S ribosomal RNA". It matches the Rfam family "Bacterial small subunit ribosomal RNA", at positions 28 to 507 of the family's 1533-position model. The record is from RNAcentral.
GACGAACGCUGGCGGCGUGCUUAACACAUGCAAGUCGAACGGAGAGGCCCUGCUUUUGUGGGGUGCUCGAGUGGCGAACGGGUGAGUAACACGUGAGUAACCUGCCCUUGACUUUGGGAUAACUUCAGGAAACUGGGGCUAAUACCGGAUAGGAGCUCCUGCUGCAUGGUGGGGGUUGGAAAGUUUCGGCGGUUGGGGAUGGACUCGCGGCUUAUCAGCUUGUUGGUGGGGUAGUGGCUUACCAAGGCUUUGACGGGUAGCCGGCCUGAGAGGGUGACCGGCCACAUUGGGACUGAGAUACGGCCCAGACUCCUACGGGAGGCAGCAGUGGGGAAUAUUGCACAAUGGGCGGAAGCCUGAUGCAGCAACGCAGCGUGCGGGAUGACGGCCUUCGGGUUGUAAACCGCUUUCGCCUGUGACGAAGCGUGAGUGACGGUAAUGGGUAAAGAAGCACCGGCUAACUACGUA